This 508-nucleotide ribosomal RNA is filed under the name uncultured bacterium. Its description in RNAcentral is "bacterial SSU rRNA". It matches the Rfam family "Bacterial small subunit ribosomal RNA", at positions 975 to 1482 of the family's 1533-position model. The record is from RNAcentral.
CAGCCCUUGACAUGUCCUCUAUGGAUUCCAGAGACGGAGUCCUUCACUUCGGGUGGGAGGAACACAGGUGCUGCAUGGCUGUCGUCAGCUCGUGUCGUGAGAUGUUGGGUUAAGUCCCGCAACGAGCGCAACCCUCGCCCUUAGUUGCCAUCAUUCAGUUGGGCACUCUAAGGGGACUGCCGGUGAUAAGCCGGAGGAAGGUGGGGAUGACGUCAAGUCCUCAUGGCCUUACGGGCUGGGCUACACACGUGCUACAAUGGCGGUGACAGAGGGAUGCAAAGGGGCAACCCUUUGCAAAUCUCAAAAAGCCGUCUCAGUUCGGAUUGGGGUCUGCAACUCGACCCCAUGAAGUUGGAAUCGCUAGUAAUCGCAGAUCAGCACGCUGCGGUGAAUACGUUCCCGGGCCUUGUACACACCGCCCGUCACACCAUGGGAGUUGGCUUUACCUGAAGACGGUGCGCUAACCGCAAGGAAGCAGCCGGCCACGGUAGGGUCAGCGACUGGGGUG